GCAGCAGGUCGGUUUGUCGCUCUCCCACGCGGGAGGGAGGAAAGUCCGGGCAACAGAGAGCACCAUACUUCCUAACGGGAAGCUGUUCGCGAGAGCAGACAAGCGUAACAGAAAACGACCGCCCCGGUCCGCCGGGGUAAGGGUGAAAAGGUGAGGUAAGAGCCCACCGGGUAUCGUGGCAACACGGUAUGCCGUACGCGUUAUGGGUUGCAAGGCCAUGUAUAUCGGAUAUGUAGGGUUGCUCGCCCGACGCCGAGGGGUAGGCCGCUAAAGGAGGAUGGUGACAUCGCUCCGUAGAUAAAUGACAAACGCCCGAGUGAUCGGGAUACAGAACCCGGCUUACAGACUGGCUGCUUUU
This 358-nucleotide RNase P RNA is filed under the name Bacteroidales bacterium. Its description in RNAcentral is "RNase P RNA component class A". It matches the Rfam family "Bacterial RNase P class A". From Rfam's summary of the family: Ribonuclease P (RNase P) is a ubiquitous endoribonuclease, found in archaea, bacteria and eukarya as well as chloroplasts and mitochondria. Its best characterised activity is the generation of mature 5'-ends of tRNAs by cleaving the 5'-leader elements of precursor-tRNAs. The record is from RNAcentral. Lineage: Bacteria; Pseudomonadati; Bacteroidota; Bacteroidia; Bacteroidales.